GCUGUUAGGUGGAAAGAAGAGGGCGCUUACAGGACGGCGGCCAGGACGGAGUCCAGCUUGGCCUUGGUGAUCUCCAGCUUCUUGGCGGCGGAGGCCUGGUCCUUCUCGCGCAGGGCGAAGUCCAGGUCCUCAACGGCCUGGAUGAACUCCUUGCGCAGGCCCAGGGCGGCCUUCUUGGCCUCCUUCUCCUUGGUCGAGGCCAGGGUGUUCAGGUCGAAGCGCAGGGUGCCGACCUGGCGGCGCAGCUGCUCGCGAGCCUCAGUCCUGUUGCGAGGGAAGGGGCAGGGUGGUGGGGAGGGAAGGUCAGCAUCCCGUGUGUCGGAAUUCGUUUUGAUCCGUAUUAUGGUUGCUCCUGUAGCAUUUGAACUUUCUUGCGGAUGCCCGUACCCAAGCCGUAUUAGGUCGCGCUGGAAACCCUGAGCAAGCAUAUUGGCCCCGUCUCGACGACAUCGCGCUCACCAGUAGGACUUCUGGAUGAACACGUCCAGGUCAGCGUCGAUGCGGGCCUCAGACUCCUUCACGCGCUUCUUGGUCUCGUCCAGGGAAGCGCGAGCCUGGGUGAAGCCCUCGCGGACGUUCUGGGGCAGGUCCAGGUCGCUGCACGCAUACAGCAUAGAUCGCACUUAUUAUUGAAGCGCUAUCCCAAACGAUAUCGACAGCUGAUUGAGAUCAGCUGGAAACAUGCCGCACCUUUUGCGGGUGCAACAUGCCAACGCAAGUCCCGACUUACCGGGCCUCGUAGAUCAG
RNAcentral lists this long non-coding RNA (747 nucleotides) under Chlamydomonas reinhardtii. RNAcentral's name for it is "long non-coding RNA (CREI_LNC000705)". Lineage: Eukaryota; Viridiplantae; Chlorophyta; Chlorophyceae; Chlamydomonadales; Chlamydomonadaceae. The record is from RNAcentral.